RNAcentral lists this ribosomal RNA (1344 nucleotides) under Triticum aestivum (bread wheat). RNAcentral describes it as "partial small subunit ribosomal RNA". The record is from RNAcentral. Lineage: Eukaryota; Viridiplantae; Streptophyta; Magnoliopsida; Poales; Poaceae.
AUGGAGAAGACCAUCGUCCUGUACCCCGGCCUCGGCGUGGGCCACUUCAACCCCAUGAUGCAGCUCGCCGCCGCGCUCCUGGAGCGUGGCUACGCCGUCACCGUCGCGCUCAUCGGCCACGACUCCCUGGCCGCCGCCGUCCGCCGGGUCGCCUCCUCCAUGCCGUCCGUCCGGAUCCACACGCUCCCGCCCGUCCAGGACCACCCCGCCUUGGCGCUCGACGGGCCGUCGUCGCUCCUGCUCUCGUACCUCCGCCUCCUGGACCGCUACAACGGCCGCCUCCACUACUUGCUCUGCUCCACCCGCCGCGCCCAUGCCCUUCACUCCGUCCUCGGCGACGGCGAGAGCCGCCGGAAAGGCUCCAGGGAGCUAGGAGACGGCCCUGUCGAGUUCUUCGGCCUCCCGCCCGUGCCGGCUUCGCACCUGCUCGCCGAGCUGCUCGAGGACCCGGAGAGCGACGCGUACAAGGCGACGAUGGCCGCCAUGUACCGGAUCCCGGAGGCCAGCGGCAUUCUGGUGAACACUUUCAGGUCGCUCGAGGCUCGGGCGGUGGCGGCUCUCAGGGACCCUCGGUGUCUCCCCGGCCGGGUCUUGCCUCCGGUGUACUGCGUCGGACCUCUCAUCGGGAGCAGCGGCGACGGCGAGGCAACUUCACCGAGGCACGAGUGCCUUGCGUGGCUCGAUGGGCAACCCGACCGCAGCGUCGUGUUCCUCUGCUUCGGGAGCAUGACGAACUGGGGACUCCAGUCGGAGGAGCAGCUCGGGGAGAUGGCCGUCGGCCUGGACAACUCCGGCCAUCGGUUCCUCUGGGUCGUGCGAGCCCCCGGCGGUGACGGCGUCCCAGAUCUCAGCGCGCUCCUGCCGGGCGGGUUCUUGGAGCGCACGGACGGCCGCGGCCUCGUCGUCAAGCUGUGGGCGCCGCAGGUCGACGUGCUCCGCCACAGAGCCACCGGCGCGUUCGUGACGCACUGCGGGUGGAACUCGGCGCUGGAGGGCGUCACGGCCGGCGUGCCGAUGCUUUGCUGGCCGAUGUAUGCGGAACAGAGGAUGAAUAAGCUCUUCAUGGUUGAGGAGAUGAGGGUCGCCGUGGAGAUGGUCGGGUGGCAGCAGGGGCUCGUCAAGGCCGGCGAGGUGGAGGGCAAGGUAAGGAUGAUCAUGGAGUCUGAGGAGGGCAGGGAACUAAGGGUGCGAGCGGCGGCGCAGAAGGAAGGCGCCGCCGUGGCGUGGAACGACGGCGGCUCGGGGCGCGCGGCGCUUGCCCAGUUCCUGGCCGAAGUGGACAGCCGACAGCCGCUGGCUCGCGACGGGGAAGCUAUCGAUGGUGAGCUUUGGCAACCAGUGUGA